ACAGGCGGAUGGGUGAGUAAUGCCUACGAAUCUGCCUAGUAAUGGGGGAUAACGUCCGGAAACCGGCGCUAAUACCGCAUACGUCCUACGGGAGAAAGUGGGGGAUCUUCGCACCUCACGCUAUUAGAUGAGCCUACGUCGGAUUAUCUACUUGGUGAGGUAAUGGCUCACCAAGGCGACGAUCCGUAACUGGUCUGAGAGGAUGAUCAGUCACACUGGAACUGAGACACGGUCCAAACUCCUACGGGAGGCAGCAGUGGGGAAUAUUGGACCAUGGGCGAAAGCCUGAUCCAGCCAUGCCGCGUGUGUGAAGAACGUCUUCGGAUUGUAAAGCACUUUAAGUUGCGAGGAAGGGCAGUUACCUAAUACGUGAUUGUUUUGACGUUACCGACACAAUAACCACCGGCUAACUCUGUGCCAGCAGCCGCGGUAAUACAGAGGGUGCAAGCGUUAAUCGGAAUUACUGGGCGUAAAGCGCCCGUAGGUGGUUUGUUAAGUUGGAUGUGAAAGCCCCAGGCUCAACCUGGGAACUGCAUCCAAAACUGCCCAGCUANAGUAUGGUAGAGGGUGGUGGAAUUUCCUGUGUAUCGGUGAAAUGCAUAUAUAUCGGAAGGAACACCAGUGGCGAAGGCGACCACCUGGACUGAUACUGACACUGAGGUGCGAAACGCGUGGGGAGCAAACAGAGAUUACAUACCCCUGCGUAGUCCACGCCGUAAACGAUGUCAACUAGCCGUUGGGAGCCUUGAGCUCUUAGUGGCGCAGCUAACGCAUUAAGUUGACCGCCUGGGGAGUACGGCCGCAAGGUUAAAACUCAAAUGAAUUGACGGGGGCCCGCACAAGCGGUGGAGCAUGGUGGUUUAAUUCGAAGCAACGCGAAGAACCCUACCAGGCCUUGACAUCCAAUGAACUUUCUAGAGAUAGAUGGUGGCCUCGGGAGCAUUGAAGACAGUGCUGCAUGGCUGUCGUCAGCUCGUGUCGUGAGAUGUGGGGUUAAGUCCCGUAACGAGCGCCACCCCUUGUCCCUAGUUACCAGCACGUAUUGGUGGCCACUUCUA
RNAcentral lists this ribosomal RNA (1058 nucleotides) under Pseudomonas protegens. Its description in RNAcentral is "bacterial SSU rRNA". It matches the Rfam family "Bacterial small subunit ribosomal RNA", at positions 94 to 1142 of the family's 1533-position model. Lineage: Bacteria; Pseudomonadati; Pseudomonadota; Gammaproteobacteria; Pseudomonadales; Pseudomonadaceae. The record is from RNAcentral.